RNAcentral lists this ribosomal RNA (254 nucleotides) under uncultured prokaryote. RNAcentral's name for it is "partial 16S ribosomal RNA". It matches the Rfam family "Bacterial small subunit ribosomal RNA", at positions 524 to 776 of the family's 1533-position model. The record is from RNAcentral.
GACGAACCGUGCGAACGUUGUUCGGAAUCACUGGGCUUAAAGGGCGCGUAGGCGGGCUGCCAAGUCCGGGGUGAAAUCUUUCGGCUCAACCGGAAAAGUGCCUUGGAUACUGGCGGUCUAGAGGGAGGUAGGGGCAUGUGGAACUUCCGGUGGAGCGGUGAAAUGCGUUGAUAUCGGAAGGAACGCCGGUGGCGAAAGCGACGUGCUGGAUCUCUUCUGACGCUGAGUGCGCGAAAGCUAGGGGAGCGAACGGG